RNAcentral lists this transfer RNA (64 nucleotides) under Delias pasithoe. Its description in RNAcentral is "tRNA-His". The record is from RNAcentral. RNAcentral also lists the same sequence under 1 other name. Lineage: Eukaryota; Metazoa; Arthropoda; Insecta; Lepidoptera; Pieridae.
ACUUAAGUAAUUUAAAUAAAAUAUUGAUUUGUGGAUUCAAAAAUAUGAUUAAUCAUUUUAAGUC